This 400-nucleotide unclassified non-coding RNA is filed under the name soil metagenome. RNAcentral's name for it is "partial contains 5.8S ribosomal RNA, internal transcribed spacer 2, and large subunit ribosomal RNA". The stretch from base 1 to 122 matches the Rfam family "5.8S ribosomal RNA", at positions 35 to 154 of the family's 154-position model. The record is from RNAcentral.
GAUGAAGAACGUAGUGAAAUGCGAUACUUGGUGUGAAUUGCAGAAUCCCGUGAACCAUCGAGUCUUUGAACGCAAGUUGCGCCUCAAGCCAUUAGGUUGAGGGCACGUCUGCCUGGACGUCACAUAUCGUUGCCUGAUGCCAGUUUCCUCGUGAUGGGUGACUGUGCAGGGCGAAUGAUGGCUUCCCGUGAGCAUUGUUGCCUCAUGGUUGGUUGAAAAUUGAGUCCUUGGUAGGGAGCGCCGUGAUAGAUGGUGGUUGAGUGACGAACGAGACCCAAUCAUGUGAGACCCCUACCGAAUUUGGCCUUCAUGACCCACAUGCGUCUUUGGAACGCUCAUGACGAGACCUCAGGUCAGGCGGGGCUACCCGCUGAGUUUAAGCAUAUCAAUAAGCGGAGGA